GUCCAGGGUAGCCUAGUGGACAUGGCAUCUGCCCGGUAAGCGUAACACUGUGGGUUCGAUUCCCAUCUCGGGACA
Molecule: transfer RNA, 75 nt
Filed under: Cordylochernes scorpioides
Lineage: Eukaryota; Metazoa; Arthropoda; Arachnida; Pseudoscorpiones; Chernetidae
Description: tRNA-Thr
Rfam family: tRNA
About the family: Transfer RNA (tRNA) molecules are approximately 80 nucleotides in length. Their secondary structure includes four short double-helical elements and three loops (D, anti-codon, and T loops).
Source: RNAcentral